AUGGAAAGAAAAAUGCAAACAAAGUACCAAUAUGAGAGUUCUAAAGAUAGUUAUACCACUCAACCCAAGGUUUAAGACUCUGAAGUGCCAUCCA
Molecule: non-coding RNA, 94 nt
Organism: Chelonoidis abingdonii (Abingdon island giant tortoise)
Lineage: Eukaryota; Metazoa; Chordata; Testudines; Testudinidae
Source: RefSeq, a predicted model, not a curated record